This 187-nucleotide small nuclear RNA is filed under the name Bipolaris sorokiniana. RNAcentral describes it as "Cochliobolus sativus U2 spliceosomal RNA". It matches the Rfam family "U2 spliceosomal RNA". From Rfam's summary of the family: U2 is a small nuclear RNA (snRNA) component of the spliceosome (involved in pre-mRNA splicing). Complementary binding between U2 snRNA (in an area lying towards the 5' end but 3' to hairpin I) and the branchpoint sequence (BPS) of the intron results the bulging out of an unpaired adenosine, on the BPS, which initiates a nucleophilic attack at the intronic 5' splice site, thus starting the first of two transesterification reactions that mediate splicing. RNAcentral also lists the same sequence under 1 other name. Lineage: Eukaryota; Fungi; Ascomycota; Dothideomycetes; Pleosporales; Pleosporaceae. The record is from Rfam by way of RNAcentral.
AUCGAGUUUGGCUUCUUCAGCUAACGAAAGCUAGUCUGUUCUUUUCAGUUUAAUCUCUGAAACGCUAGUACGCUAGCAUUCAAGGUUAUACUUAUUUUUGCAAUUAGUCCUGACGUCCCUGGGCUUGCUCAUACGUCGGGUCACAGUGUCGCCUCUAUUGCACUUCCUGAGGCCGACGCGAACCUUU